GAUGAACGCUGGCGGCGUGCCUAAUACAUGCAAGUCGAGCGAACAGACGAGGAGCUUGCUCCUCUGACGUUAGCGGCGGACGGGUGAGUAACACGUGGAUAACCUACCUAUAAGACUGGGAUAACUUCGGGAAACCGGAGCUAAUACCGGAUAAUAUAUUGAACCGCAUGGUUCAAUAGUGAAAGACGGUUUUGCUGUCACUUAUAGAUGGAUCCGCGCCGCAUUAGCUAGUUGGUAAGGUAACGGCUUACCAAGGCAACGAUGCGUAGCCGACCUGAGAGGUUGAUCGGACACACUGGAACUGAGACACGGUCCAGACUCCUACGGGAGGCAGCAGUAGGGAAUCUUCCGCAAUGGGCGAAAGCCUGACGGAGCAACGCCGCGUGAGUGAUGAAGGUCUUCGGAUCGUAAAACUCUGUUAUUAGGGAAGAACAAAUGUGUAAGUAACUAUGCACGUCUUGACGGUACCUAAUCAGAAAGCCACGGCUAACUACGUG
Molecule: ribosomal RNA, 497 nt
Filed under: uncultured bacterium
Lineage: Bacteria
Description: partial 16S ribosomal RNA
Rfam family: Bacterial small subunit ribosomal RNA
Source: RNAcentral